GACGAACGCUGGCGGCGUGCUUAACACAUGCAAGUCGAGCGGUAAGGCCCUUUCGGGGGUACACGAGCGGCGAACGGGUGAGUAACACGUGGGUGACCUGCCCUCAGCUCUGGGAUAAGCCUGGGAAACUGGGUCUAAUACCGGAUAUGACCUUCCACUGCAUGGUGGUUGGUGGAAAGUCCUGGUCUUGAUUGUCUGGGUUCGGCUGGGGAUGGGCCCGCGGCCUAUCAGCUUGUUGGGGGGGUGA
This 247-nucleotide ribosomal RNA is filed under the name uncultured bacterium. Its description in RNAcentral is "partial 16S ribosomal RNA". It matches the Rfam family "Bacterial small subunit ribosomal RNA", at positions 28 to 260 of the family's 1533-position model. The record is from RNAcentral.